Molecule: ribosomal RNA, 604 nt
Filed under: uncultured Hymenochaetales
Lineage: Eukaryota; Fungi; Basidiomycota; Agaricomycetes; Hymenochaetales
Description: eukaryotic LSU rRNA
Rfam family: 5.8S ribosomal RNA (bases 174-328)
Source: RNAcentral
AUAAGCCGGGACUCUCAUGAUAAGGCAAAAUGCACAUGCGCGCAUAUNAUANAGCUNGCAGAAAAGUUGGCUCAUAAAUAGAUUAUUGUCCUUUGUCUUAAACANAUAAAACCUUUUAUCAUGUCNUGUAGAAUGAUAUGCUCCUCCAGAUGGUGGAGUAGAAAAUAAAAUAUAACUUUCAACAAUGGAUCUCUNGGCUCUCGCAUCGAUGAAGAACGCAGCGAAAUGCGAUAAGUAAUGUGAAUUGCAGAAUUCAGUGAAUCAUCGAAUCUUUGAAUGCACCUUGUGCUCCUUGGGUUACCUAUGGAGCAUACCUGUUUGAGUGUCAUGUUAAUCUCAAUCCCCCUUCAGGUUUUUCUAUCUUGUAUAGAAGACCUGUUGUGGAAUUGGACUUUGGAGGCAAUUAAUGCAGGCUCCUCUUGGGAGUCUGCUCCUCUUAAAAGCAUUAGCAGGAGAUGAAGCAAAAAGGCUCUUUAGCAUUGUUCAUUGGCUGUGGUGUAAUAAUUGUUCCAUCAUAGCAGCAUUGCUACGUGAUCAAUGUGCUUGAAUAGAGACUUUGUAGAUGUUCUCUGCUUCUNACUGUCAUUUGUUUGACAUCAGUUAG